Molecule: ribosomal RNA, 491 nt
Filed under: uncultured soil bacterium
Lineage: Bacteria
Description: bacterial SSU rRNA
Rfam family: Bacterial small subunit ribosomal RNA
Source: RNAcentral
AGAUUGAACGCUGGCGGCAUGCCUAACACAUGCAAGUCGAACGGGAGUAGCAAUACUCUAGUGGCGGACGGGUGAGGAAUACGUAGGAAUUUGCCCUUAAGUGGGGGAUAACCCGGGGAAACCCGGAUUAAUACCGCAUGACCUCGAAAGAGCAAAGUGGGGGAUCGCAAGACCUCACGCUUUUGGAGAAGCCUACGUCGGAUUAGCUAGUUGGUGAGGUAAUGGCUCACCAAGGCGACGAUCCGUAACUGGUCUGAGAGGAUGAUCAGUCACACCGGAACUGAGACACGGUCCGGACUCCUACGGGAGCAGCAGUGGGGAAUAUUGGACAAUGGGCGCAAGCCUGAUCCAGCAAUGCCGCGUGUGUGAAGAAGGCCUUCGGUUGUAAAGCACUUUAAGUUAGGGAAGAAAAACUCGACUCUAACGACAGUGAGUCUUGACGGUACCGACAGAAUAAGCAACCGGCUAACGUCUAGUGCCAGCAAGCCGAC